This 343-nucleotide ribosomal RNA is filed under the name uncultured bacterium. Its description in RNAcentral is "bacterial SSU rRNA". It matches the Rfam family "Bacterial small subunit ribosomal RNA", at positions 28 to 362 of the family's 1533-position model. The record is from RNAcentral.
GAUGAACGUUGGCGGUGUGCCUAAUACAUGCAAGUCGAACGGAGAUCAUAAAGUAGUAAUACCUUGUGAUUCUUAGUGGCGAACGGGUGAGUAACGCGUUGGUGACCUGCCCCGAAGUGUGGAAUAACAAUUCGAAAGAAUUGCUAAUACCGCAUGUGAUUUUAGAGACUAGAUGCUCUUUAAUUAAAGGAUUUAUUCGCUUCGGGAGGGGCCUGCGUCCCAUCAGCUAGUUGGUGAGGUAACAGCUCACCAAGGCGACGACGGGUAGCCGGCCUGAGAGGGUGACCGGCCACACUGGGACUGAGACACGGCCCAGACUCCUACGGGGGCAGCAGUGGGGAUC